This 253-nucleotide ribosomal RNA is filed under the name uncultured bacterium. Its description in RNAcentral is "partial 16S ribosomal RNA". It matches the Rfam family "Bacterial small subunit ribosomal RNA", at positions 524 to 776 of the family's 1533-position model. The record is from RNAcentral.
UACGUAGGGGGCAAGCGUUGUCCGGAUUUAUUGGGCGUAAAGAGCGUGUAGGCGGCCAAGCAGGUCUGCUGUGAAAACUCGAGGCUCAACCUCGAGACGUCGGUGGAAACCGUUUGGCUAGAGUCCGGAAGAGGAGAGUGGAAUUCCCGGUGUAGCGGUGAAAUGCGCAGAUAUCGGGAAGAACACCCGUGGCGAAGGCGGCUCUCUGGGACGGGACUGACGCUGAGACGCGAAAGCGUGGGGAGCGAACAGG